CAAUAGCGUAUAUUAAAGUUGUUGCAGUUAAAAAGCUCGUAGUUGGAUUUGUGGCUGUCACGGGCGGCCUAUCACUUAGUGUUAGUGCUUGCCUGUGUCGCCAUCCUUGGGUGGAGCCCGUGUGGCAUUAGGUUGUCGUGCGGGGGAUGCCCAUCGUUUGCUGUGAGAAAAUUAGAGUGUUCAAAGCAGGCUUAUGCCAUUGAAUAUGUUAGCAUGGAAUAAUAAGAUAGGACCUCGGUACUAUUUUGUUGGUUUGCGCACCGAGGUAAUGAUUAAUAGGGACAGUUGGGGGUAUUCGUAUUUCAUUGUCAGAGGUGAAAUUCUUGGAUUUCUGAAAGACGAACUACUGCGAAAGCAUUUACCAAGGAUGUUUUCAUUAA
RNAcentral lists this ribosomal RNA (380 nucleotides) under uncultured eukaryote. Its description in RNAcentral is "partial 18S ribosomal RNA". It matches the Rfam family "Eukaryotic small subunit ribosomal RNA", at positions 592 to 976 of the family's 1831-position model. The record is from RNAcentral.